UGCUGGAGGUAUCAGAAGUGCGAAUGCUGACAUAAGUAACGAUAAAGCGGGUGAAAAGCCCGCUCGCCGGAAGACCAAGGGUUCCUGUCCAACGUUAAUCGGGGCAGGGUGAGUCGACCCCUAAGGCGAGGCCGAAAGGCGUAGUCGAUGGGAAACGGGUUAAUAUUCCCGUACUUGGUGUUACUGCGAAGGGGGGACGGAGAAGGCUAUGUUGGCCGGGCGACGGUUGUCCCGGUUUAAGCGUGUAGGUGUGUGUUCCAGGUAAAUCCGGUUCACUUUAACACUGAGGCGUGACGACGAGGCACUACGGUGCUGAAGCAACAAAUGCCCUGCUUCCAGGAAAAGCCUCUAAGCAUC
This 357-nucleotide ribosomal RNA is filed under the name Salmonella enterica subsp. enterica serovar Typhimurium var. 5-. Its description in RNAcentral is "bacterial LSU rRNA". It matches the Rfam family "Bacterial large subunit ribosomal RNA", at positions 1271 to 1629 of the family's 2925-position model. Lineage: Bacteria; Pseudomonadati; Pseudomonadota; Gammaproteobacteria; Enterobacterales; Enterobacteriaceae. The record is from RNAcentral.